RNAcentral lists this ribosomal RNA (321 nucleotides) under uncultured eukaryote. Its description in RNAcentral is "partial 18S ribosomal RNA". It matches the Rfam family "Eukaryotic small subunit ribosomal RNA", at positions 1470 to 1796 of the family's 1831-position model. The record is from RNAcentral.
CCCUUAGACGUUCUGGGCCGCACGCGCGCUACACUGACGAAGGCAACGAGCUUUCCUUUACCGAAAGGUACGGGUAAUCUUUUGAAACUUCGUCGUGCUGGGGAUAGAUCCUUGCAAUUUUUGAUCUUAAACGAGGAAUGCCUAGUAAGCACAAGUCAUCAGCUUGUGUUGAUUACGUCCCUGCCCUUUGUACACACCGCCCGUCGCUCCUACCGAUUGAAUGUUCCGGUGAGCUCUUCGGACUGCGCGGUCUGCAGUUUCUGCGUUCCGUGCGGAAAGUUGCGCAAACCUUAACAUUUAGAGGAAGGAGAAGUCGUAACA